ACACUCAUGUUUCUCUUCAUAUCGAAUAAAUCUUUCGCCUAUUACUAAAGAUUUCUGUGGAGAGGAACACCAUGAGUAUUUACAAUUUUUUUUGAUGUCCUGCUUCAAUGUAGGAUU
Small nuclear RNA from Danio aesculapii, 117 nucleotides. RefSeq annotates it as U5 spliceosomal RNA. Lineage: Eukaryota; Metazoa; Chordata; Actinopteri; Cypriniformes; Danionidae. The record is from RefSeq and is a predicted model, not a curated record. The transcript has a single exon.